CCGCCUGGCGGGAGUGGAACCGCGGGUGGCGGUCGCUCCCGUGGCGCUCCCGCCCUGCUCGGUACCCCUCCCGCGCGGGGAGCGCCGAGCUUCGGAAGCGCGGCUUCCGGCUGCCUGGGCGCACCCCGGCCCGGCCCCGAUGGGGGCCCCUGGUGUCCGGAGACCACCGCGCGCAGACCCUGACCGGCAUUCCCGGGCUGAGAGCCGUGAAGCGCCCUGCUUGUCCAGACCAGCGGAGAGGAUCAAAGCCUAAUUUGGCUACCCAGAAAACGAAUUAAGAUACGAUAUGAAGAAGAACUUCCAACAUCAACAUCCUCUGGAAGAGUCACUCCAGAAGAUGAACAUCAAAAAACUUCAACAAAGAUCCUGGCGCUGCUGCAGUUGUAGCUGCAUUCAUCCCGCCGGUUCCUGGACUUGCCAUUGGAAUGAAGAAGGAGAUAUCUAAGCGGGCCUGUGCAUACAGUAAAACAACAAAUUUGACUGGAUCUAUACUGUUGGAACUCAACCAAGAAUUAGGAGAAGUGCAAGUUGCAGCGCUCCAAAAUCUUGCGACUACAGACUAUCUACUGUUAAAAGAACAUAUGGGAUGUGAACAGUUCCCAGGAAUGUGUUGUUUUAAUUUGUCUGAUUUUUCUCAAACUAUUCAAAUUCAGUUAGACAAUAUCCAUCAUAUCAUUGAUAGGUUUUCACAAAUGCCUAGGGUGCCUAACUGGAUUUUUGGUUUCACUGGAUUGGCUGGUAAUUGUAGGUCUCCUUUGGUUAUGUAGCUGUAUUCCUAUUAUGUUAAUGUGUGCACACAAUUUAAUUAGUAGUUUAAAGCCUAUACAUGCUUAUGUUACACUACAAGAAGAUAUGUCAAAGAAAUAAUCAAUCUUACCAUGUUUUCUUCCAUAUGCUACUUCUAUAGCUUUUCUUCUUCCUUCCUAAUAACAACCCUUAAGUAGAAUUCGUGCCUCAUAUCGAAAUUACUGAGUAUCAUAAUUCUUCCAAGUGGUAAAGAUACCUCAAGACAAAUGCUGGGCAUAGAAGCCACAGGGCAUAAAUCUGAAAAGAAGUAAAAAGCUAACCUUUUCAAACAAUAUUGCUUCUCUCUCACUUACCAACUUUACAUUUCCCUGUAUGGCCCCGGAAGAUGACUGGUUAGCCAGAGACGGGUAAGAUUCCUCAAGGGAGGAACAACCUAAGACAGGCACAGUCGCAGGGGGGCCAUCAGGUGAGAAAUUGGGAAUCAACAGAGGUGAGGCUUAGAACCUCACCCCCCCUGUUUGGAGAGAAAUCUGCAUCCAUGGAUAUUUUGUUGCCCUUGACUAGCUUGGAUUAAUACUUAGUCUACAGGCACACACCUGAUCAUCUACAUUUGCCCUCUUACAGCACUAAACUAUGUUUUCUACCUUUAUCUUGCAUCUACCUACCACUUCAGCAUU
Molecule: long non-coding RNA, 1424 nt
Organism: Manis pentadactyla (Chinese pangolin)
Lineage: Eukaryota; Metazoa; Chordata; Mammalia; Pholidota; Manidae
Exons: 2
Source: RefSeq, a predicted model, not a curated record